Cygnus atratus (black swan) is the source of this 1201-nucleotide long non-coding RNA. RefSeq lists it as uncharacterized. The record is from RefSeq and is a predicted model, not a curated record. The transcript is spliced from 8 exons. Lineage: Eukaryota; Metazoa; Chordata; Aves; Anseriformes; Anatidae.
AGAGCCCGGUCUGUACGGCAAAUGGGGCAACAUGGCGGCGCGCCCGGGGCUGCCGGGCAACAUGGCGGCGCCCAUAGGGACGCGAGACAAAUAUGGCAGUACAAGACAUAUGGAUCUGGCUCUCUGAACACCCUUACUGUUUUGAAGUAAAAGAGGAAGACUCGCCUCGCUUCUCCAGCCCUGGCUGUGACAGCUUCUUGGGGUGGCUUUUUGCUGGGCCUUAUAAGCAUUAUUUCCAUAUAUCUGCAGGGAAUUUGCCACCUGUCUCAUGCUCUUCUUCCAUCAGCAUCUGGGAACACAAGCAUCAAGCUGGGAGAGCUGUUGAGCCCCUGCUGUCUUCCCAACAUGGAGGUGAAAACCUCUUUUUCCCCCAAAAUGGAAUCAAGACCCCCAGGAGGAAGAUCUCCUGUGAACAGUCUGCUUCCUUUGGAGAAAGCCCCAAGUGAUGAGAAAUCCUGGCCACGAGAGGAGAUGCCCCCUCCUGUCUGCUGUUGCUUGGUCCCAGCGAGCGGCAGUGAUGGAAGGGAAGAAGACCCAAGCUGAUUUCACACCUCUCUGUAUUUUGGGGCAGCGCAAACCAGCAAUUGGUGCCAGCCCAUUUCGGAGAGGGAAGAUCUCUGAACACAGCACCUGAGAUGCUCCGGGACAUCCAAGCCUCUUGUGUUUGCUAAACAACCUGUGGCAGACACUGGAGGUUGGCCCGAAAUGACCAGGGCAGACCUCAAUUUCUAUUCCCCUUCUGGAGAAACCCGUUCCUGCGAUGGCUAUAUAGGGAUCCCCGAGACCUCAGCCCUCCUUCCAACCUCGGCAUUAAAGUCAGCUAAAAUUAGGUGCUGGGAACGUCCUCCCGCUGCCAGCACAGCUGUCGUGCCCCUGUCGGUCCUUCCAGCAAAUCUGGAUACCUUUUUCCCAGGGCACCACGGUCCUAGGACGAACUUGGACUUGCCAAAAAUCUCCAGCAGGGACAGCCCCCACCAUCACGGCCCCGUGAGCAAAACAGCCCCAGCUUGGUUAACUUACAGGAAACCAGCUGCAGGUCCUGGUAGACCAAGCUGUGGGCACUUGGAGGUUGUUCCAGUUGGGAGGCGAACGUGAUGAUGGAGUCAGGGAAAAGGAAUGCAGAUCUUGAAGAACGGGAUGCAAAAAUCACUGUAGCAUGAGCAAUGACCAACACGUGUAUUUGUGCUUUUUUAAUUCGUUU